RNAcentral lists this ribosomal RNA (282 nucleotides) under Staphylococcus aureus. Its description in RNAcentral is "partial 23S ribosomal RNA". It matches the Rfam family "Bacterial large subunit ribosomal RNA", at positions 1603 to 1886 of the family's 2925-position model. Lineage: Bacteria; Bacillati; Bacillota; Bacilli; Caryophanales; Staphylococcaceae. The record is from RNAcentral.
CACUGCCGAGAAAAGCCUCUAGAUAGAAAAUAGGUGCCCGUACCGCAAACCGACACAGGUAGUCAAGAUGAGAAUUCUAAGGUGAGCGAGCGAACUCUCGUUAAGGAACUCGGCAAAAUGACCCCGUAACUUCGGGAGAAGGGGUGCUCUUUAGGGUUAACGCCCAGAAGAGCCGCAGUGAAUAGGCCCAAGCGACUGUUUAUCAAAAACACAGGUCUCUGCUAAACCGUAAGGUGAUGUAUAGGGGCUGACGCCUGCCCGGUGCUGGAAGGUUAAGAGGAG